CUAGGAAGUAUACCUUCCGACAGGACGUUUGCAAAUGCUUCCUCCUCCAGCUGCUUGGUAGAUAUGUAACCACAUUCACCCUUAAUGUCUCUUUAUCUCACCAGGCACCCUACUGAGAUGAGUUCUUUUUAAAAGAGCUACUUUCCAUGGCGAAUCCAUUUUGGCGAAUAGAAAAUUCAUCAUGCUUACCACACCAAGUAGCAGGAAGGCAGGCUUGCCAGCCGUCCCCUCCUUCCUUGCCCUAGUCUCCAGUACUGUUCCAGCUGGCCUGUAACCUCCAGAAUCCUCCCACGGAUAUGCAGAAAAAAAGAUCCGAAUACUGUCAGCCUGGAGUGGAAUCGAAUGAGCUGUGUAUGAACAGCUGUCCUAAGCAGUUAGAUUCCCUGAGCCUUUUGCCAAAAGAUAAGUAUUUCAUGCCCUGGAAAGGGAGCCUGGAGCUUAACAAUAUAAAAAUUGGAAUUAGUUGAGAGUACUACAACAUCUGAGGAUCUCCAUGAUCUGAAACUAACUUAUUUUGUUUACCACUUCAUUAUAUGACGCUUAGCAUUACAUUCAUACUGCAUGAGACUAUUCCCCAUUUUUGACAUAACACUGUACUUUUACUCACUUCGGGCACCCUGGCUUAUACCAUCAGCCUUACGCUCUAUUACUUUUCCCUCCUUCAUCCCUAAAUGUUCAAGCUCUACGUCUUCAUUUGGGCCUUAAAGAGUAAAUAGGUAUUCUAUAUAUUGAAACCACACCUUACAAUACUUUACAAUACUGAAGAGUGGUUUAGAUAACACUUGCUCUCUUGCUUUCAUGUUAAUGUUACUAUUCUGGGGGGAUAUUUCUGGAUUGGUUUUCUUGAUAGAUGAAAUGGCCUGUGAAUGCAGUCAGUGAGUUGGAGUUCAUGAAGGUAUUCAGGGUUGAAUAUCUACAAAGUCUGCUUUUUCUGCCUUGGAGAACUGUGGU
Molecule: long non-coding RNA, 951 nt
Filed under: Macaca mulatta (Rhesus monkey)
Lineage: Eukaryota; Metazoa; Chordata; Mammalia; Primates; Cercopithecidae
Description: lncRNA (ENSMMUG00000043923.2)
Source: RNAcentral